UUUACUUAGUUUAAAUUUUUAUGUCAAUAUUCAGUCCAAGAGUCCCAGAUAAAAUGACCUUUGACCGAAUUUCUAUAUUAAAAUAAUUAGGAGUUUUUUUUAUUUUAGUUUUCUAAUUAGAUUAGGACUAGUUAUAAGGCCUAUUUAAAGGCAUGGCUGUCCACCUUGUUAAACACUUAUCAUUAUUAUUAAAAUUUCAGAUUUGUUGAGAGCAG
Molecule: long non-coding RNA, 215 nt
Filed under: Gossypium barbadense (sea-island cotton)
Lineage: Eukaryota; Viridiplantae; Streptophyta; Magnoliopsida; Malvales; Malvaceae
Description: long non-coding RNA (GBAR_LNC002203)
Source: RNAcentral